GAUGAAGAACGCAGCGAAAUGCGAUAAGUAAUGUGAAUUGCAGAAUUCAGUGAAUCAUCGAGUCUUUGAACGCAAGUUGCGCCCGAAGCCAUUAGGCCGAGGGCACGCCUGCCUGGGCGUCACACGUCGUUGCCCCCCCAUCUACUCCUUCGGGAUUGCGGGGGGCGGAUGAUGGCCUCCCGUGCGCCUCGUCGCGCGGUUGGCCUAAAUGCCAAGUCCUCGGCGACGCACGCCACGACAAUCGGUGGUUGCGAAACCUCGGUUGCCCGUCGUGUGCGGUCGUCGCGCAUCGAGGGCUCGAAAAAAUUGCCGGGCUUCGGCUCGACUUUCAACGCGACCCCAGGUCAGGCGGGGUUACCCGCUGAAUUUAAGCAUAUCAAUAAGCGGAGGA
This 391-nucleotide unclassified non-coding RNA is filed under the name soil metagenome. RNAcentral's name for it is "partial contains 5.8S ribosomal RNA, internal transcribed spacer 2, and large subunit ribosomal RNA". The stretch from base 1 to 122 matches the Rfam family "5.8S ribosomal RNA", at positions 35 to 154 of the family's 154-position model. The record is from RNAcentral.